This is an RNA transcript of Trematomus bernacchii (emerald rockcod), 5732 nucleotides long. It is a transcript of the gene named family with sequence similarity 110 member B, with no coding region annotated. The record is from RefSeq and is a predicted model, not a curated record. Lineage: Eukaryota; Metazoa; Chordata; Actinopteri; Perciformes; Nototheniidae. The transcript has 6 exons.
GGAACAGGAUGCUGUCAGGCCGAGGAGACGCAUCAAUCUAACGGGGAGAAACCGCAGCAGCAUCCUUUGUUUUCUGGAGCUGGAGACCCAGCUGUGAAACCCACUGACAACCUGCAGGACCUGGAGCAGAAGGGGGAGGAGCCGAGCUCCAACAGCCAAUAGCUGAAGCUAAGAAGCAGCCAAUGGGACAGCUCCAAACAGAUAUUGUGGCGAGCGUGGAGAGGUGGCGUGGCGGCGAGGCGUUUCUAUCCUCCGUUCUCUGGUUUUCCUUGGGCCCUGUGAGAGCACUGAUCCACACCGCUGCACUGAGACACUCUCAUCACUCUUUGUCCUUCUCUCCUCUCUGUCACUGUCCUCUCUCCUUCUAUCCAUCUCUCUGUCCGUCAGCGGGUCCUGAGCAGCACGCAGUAAAGACUCUGUGAGGUUGUAGAGCCGCUCACAGAGAUCGUCCUACUCAGGCAAUGCAGAAGUAUAUCUGAACCCAGUGUUCAGCCCCCCCCCCAGCCCAGAGUCUGGCCCGGUGCCACAGGGUCCAUCAGGCGAUGAGGAGGGCCAAGGGGCUCAUCUCUUUCUAGACUUUCUCUUCUCAACCUUGUGUCUUCAUGUAUUGGGGGUCCUCCGGUGCCCCCGCCCUCUGUCGACCUCCCCGCACCUGCUGCCACCACGGCCGGCCACCCCAGUCGCUUCGUUGCCAUGCCGACAGAGACACUGGCUCCAGCCCUGCCAGAUAGCAAGGCCGCUGGCCCCGCAACGCCCUUCAGUUCCACCGUACCCCUCCGCAUCCUCAAUAAGGGCCCGGACUACUUCAGGAGACAGGUGGACACUAACCCAAAGCGUCUCAGUGCUGUGGAGAGACUGGAAGCUGACAAGGCAAAGUAUGUCAAGAGCCAGGAAGUUAUCAACGCCAAGCAGGAGCCAAUCAAACCACCUGUGCUGGCUAAGCCUCCCGUCGGUCACACCCUCCUGUCCAAAAGGGGCUCUGGGAUUGGUGGAGGCGGAAAUGGGGGCGGGAUACCUUUCAAAGCAUCCAAUAACAACGCUAAGUCAGACACAUGUGCAGGCAGCAGCAAACGAGAGAAUUUAAACCUGGAGAUCCUUAAAAAUCUGCUAAACUCAUCGUCAUCUUCAGGAGCAACGUCCGAAGGACGAGGGGGCGGAGCUAAGAGUGCUGUGUUGAUGAGGUCAGCAGGGGGAAUGGCCAGAAGUUGGACACCAUCAGGGAUGCCGUUGACCUACCGAUCCACCAUGGCGCUGAAUGAGCAGCCCCCGGACUCAGCCCCCAGCCCCAGCACCUCACACUCCCUGCGCUCCUUCUCCCAUUCUCUGAAGGUCCCUCCGCUGAACAGCGGGGGGCGUCGCAGUCCACUACAGGGUGGAAACCUCAACCUUAGCAGACGAGGUGAAGGAGUCAUCGAUCGCUCUCGCUCCCCCCUCCCCCCCCUCCUCACCUCCCACUCCUCCUCCGACCUCCUGCGACUGUGCAAUGGAAAGCCCCUGCGCACGGCCCGGUCCAGCAGCUCAUCGGCUCCACCCCUCCCACCCAAACCCAACCCCGCCUCCCUCCCACCUCCCGCACUAUCCUUUUCGUUGCCCCCCGCUCGUCCAACUCCAUCCCCUUCGCUCUGUGACAACAGCACCCCACAGUCGCUCCCUUGUGAUUUGGGAGACCCUUCAAAUACUUCAACAGAUGCCAACCUGGAGCUUGGUUCCUCGGUGGUCCGUCGCUCCUCGCUGCACAGAUCGAAGUCAGACCUGUCAGACCGCUACGCCCGGGCCGGAGCUGACGUGGAGCGCUUUUUUAACUACUGCGGCCUUGACCCAGAGGAGCUGGAGGCAGUGGGUCCAGAGAACUUUGCUCGGGCCAACUCGGACAUCGUCAGCCUGAACUUUCGAUCCGCUUCUAUGAUCUCCUCGGACUGCGACCGAUCGCGGCGAUCUUCCAACGACGGGCUGUCAGACGCGGCUGAGGAAGAGGAAGAGGAGGCCGGGGAGCGUGUUCCAUAUGGCAUCUCGGCUGUGGAGCGAAACGCUCGAGUCAUUAAGUGGCUAUACAGCAUCAAGCAGGCAAGAGAGACACAGAAGGUCUCCCAUGUUUAGGACAAGCAGUACAGUGGAGUGGAUGUACUUUAACCUACAGACUCAUGUGUCAGAAUGUAUACAUGGACCAGAAGUUCUAACAGGUUUAGAGACGAUCUUGGCGCUGAACUGAACAUUUGUCAAAGUGUUUGGAUGGAUGAAUAGAUGGAAAAGAAGACCCACGGGUGUAACAAGCUUGGUGUCAUGUAUAUGGUUGUGUCAACAGCUUCCCAUUACUUCCCACAGUGUGAUGAGGCUGUGGCGCAGUGGGCUAGUGCGUUGGUGUUCGGAUCAGGGGAGCACAGAUUCAAACCCCACUGCAGUCAGCAUGUCGUUGUGUCCCUGAGACACUUCCCCCCAAAUUGCUCCUGUAGGGAUUGCCCACAGUAUUGAGUAUGUAAGUCGCUUUGGAUAAAAGCGUCUAACAAGUAACAUGUACUGUAAUGUAAUGUAAUGAUGAGAUACCUCUGUUCAGCAUAGCUCACUGGCAAAGAGAAAACGAUAGUAGUCGUAUUCACUGCUGUGUCAGUGUUACAGUCAGAGUGCUAACUAACAAACCAUUACGAUUAUUACUUCCACCUGUGCUUUUCCUGCAAUGACAAGUCAAAUGUCCACUCUGAGAAAGGCCUGUUUCACAGUGUUGAUGUCUCCGUUUAAAGAAACUUUGAUAAGGGUCCUGACAUCUUGGCAAAACAGACAUUGAACUCUAUCUGUCAAAAAUGAGAUAUCACUUUGGAAAGUCAGUGAUGCUGGUACACUGUUUGACCAUUAUGAAGUCAGGUCAGAUAUCUGUUUGAGGUGACUGUUAAAUGAACACUUCAACACUAACUUAAUGGGUCACAAAGACUAUUAGUUAAUCGAGUUGUUAACUACAGUAUGACAUUUCAAAAUGCUGAGAAACUAAUGAAACACAAAUGGCCGUAAACUGGCUUUGACUAAGCUUCAGCUCUUGUUAAGCUAGAUAUGUGAAUGAGAGAUAAAGGGUUUGAAGUGUGUGUGAUGAAUGAUUGAUGAAGGAAACAGAGGACAUUGAAUGACACACAGAAUAUAAUUAUAAUCACUAAAGCAUACUUAUCCGUACAGCAUUAAGGCUACACCAAUAUACAUACUGUACUCUAUGCUGAUGAUUAUUAACAAAUAGUCAUCAACCUGUUUCACAUUUCACUGGAGUGUUUUAGUGUCCUGUGAUGGACCAUUCAGAGGCUGUUCCUCCUGCCAAUUAGAAUUCAAAACAUGAAUACAUGAAUUUGAAGUGAUUGUAUCUCAUGAUGCCGCUGUAUUUUUUUGUGAAGUUCAAAUGAACUAUGGGGCGUCUACGCUUUAAUAUGGUUUUGACUUGUGUGAACUGCAGCAUGCUUUGGCUGUAGUCCAAAUGUACUUCCAAUUGUAGGUUGUUCUGAUGAUGCAGGAUGACAUCACCAAAGCUGUCCAAUGAAUGAUCCAAUACUCAUAUUCCUCCUUUUAGUUAAUGGAAAGGUCAGAACAUUAAACUAUGCAUAGUGGCCUAAACAAUCAAACCUGUACUUGUAUUACAUAUGUAAUCACUUCUUCAGUUGUUACUCAGUGAAGUGUCUUACAUACCUUCACAUGCUUAUCUGUGGGAUAAUUCAAAAGAACCUGAAGCCCCUGAGUACAUCACACAAUCCACAACUUUAGAAACCACAGAAUUUGCCUCUAAGAUCCUCUAAACUCAUUCGCAGUCUAGGAUUAAAUAGAUAACACCUCAAGCAUUUCCCAGCUGUAAUAUCCUUUAUAUAUACAGUCUAUGGUAAUAUCGCAAAACACCAAAACCCUCCUUUCAAAACAAUGGUAUCUGUGAUUAUGUAGAGCCCCAUGCAUUAUACAUACACUGAAAGCAAUACUAUCGAACUUCUCUGUUAACUAUUACAGGACAUGUUACAGUACAGUAGAGUAUAGGAAGGUCAAAGGGCAAUUGUGGUAAUUUCAUUUGUCAGUGUUCUUUCCGAAUGACACUUCAGAUGUUGGCUCUUUAUAGACACAUACAUGCAGUUUGCAUCCUACAACCACAUACACAGAAGGAACUCCAGCAAUGCUUCUGUAUUAAGUUUUAGACAAGUUGAGUUUAUGAUGCUGUGCUUUGUCUCUCUCAGGCUCUGUCUCUGUCUCUGGGUCCUCAAAGCCAGCCACAGGAAGGAACCUGUAGCUUUACCUUGUGUGUUAGCUGAUAAUGAAGGUUGGAUGAAUUACGCAGUUUACCUCCACCCUCCACUUUGUCACCUGUCUACAUGUCUGCAUGUUGCCGGCAUGUCUCUAGGCCUGAAGCCAUAUUGGUGUGAAUGCAGCGCCUCAGUCAGUGUCUACCUACUGUUAGUGUGUCUGUCUGCCACCCCCCCCUCCCCCCCCCUCUUCAGUCUGUCAACAGCUACAACCGGCUGGGCUUCACUUCCAACAAAACACUCCCCGGGCGGUAUCGGUGGUAUGGAUGCAUCAACAUCUGAGGUUUGCUGGACAUAAACAAAUGGCAAAAUAUUGUGUAGCACAGGGCUGAUGGAUAGUUGCUAGCCCCUAAGCUAAACUGUUGUAACAUUUAUCAAACUGUGCAUUUUGGCCACCACUUCACUACUCCAGGUACAUUAAACCACCUUUAGGACAUGAAUUGGGCCAAUUAUGAUACAGUAUAGCAAGCAACACAGAUGUGGUAAAUGAUAGUGUACUAAGUGACAUCUGGAUUUUGUAUUAGAUUUGAGACAGUUGAAAUGAACGUUUUAAAUAUGUUUUCAAUGUUAUGUCCUACAAAAAACCUUACCUUACAACUUAAUACUGGGAUCCAAUGGGGGACAAAUCCAACAAUCCUGGAUCCACCCAAAACUCCAGCUGAAAUGAAUAUGAUGUUUAAUCCAUCUGUGUAAGCCAAAUCAUCGUGUAUAUCAUUGUGUUGGUGUAUAUGUUUGUAUAACCCUAACCCUAGCAAUGCUGUCCAAAGAAAAGACACAGAGGAAAUGUCUUACAUUUUUUAUUUAGACUGUUGGCAUUGUAGGAGUUGUCGGUGGUCUCAUUUUUUGAUGCAUCCCGUCUUCCUUUAGAGUGGAAGUGAAGUGAGGGCCCCCCCCCCCCCAUCACCUCGCUCUCAGCUCAGGGUUGUGUAAGCACGUUCCUGUCCAACCCCCUGACAAGCCCUCCCAUGUGUUCCUCUAAAACCCGGACCCCCUGCUGCUUCUCUCUCUCAGCAUUCAUGAAAACAAUAAGGUGAUGUCCUGGCAGCAUCAUCAUGCUUCAGUUUUUCUACAUGGUGUGUAUUUAGUUCUGUUUUGUAUCUUUGGAUUGACAGAUAGAGUUCUUCUGUGGUACUUAUUGUUUUCUUUUUUUCCAUAUGUAAAUGCUGUAAGAACAAAUGUAUAUAUUUCAUUUCAAAAGCCACGUGUUGGAUUUCAGUUUUUCUCUGUCUGAAGGUCUACGUGUUACAAAAGAUUCCGAUAAAAAAAACUGCUGUUUUGCUCUUUGCCCUCGGUACAGAACUGCCUGAUCACACUGAGUGUUUCAGAGACGUAGUGUUGACUGUGUUUUUCGACGUGGAAACUGUUACAUUUUGCUUGAUUAAAAAAAAAAAAAAAAAAGUGUCCAUGUUUAGUUUCUUUUGAUUCUUUCAAUAAAUGGCUUAUUUUGCCAUCUCUCUCAGUGAUGUUCUUUUAAGUUGU